This 271-nucleotide ribosomal RNA is filed under the name uncultured Lactobacillus sp. Its description in RNAcentral is "partial 16S ribosomal RNA". It matches the Rfam family "Bacterial small subunit ribosomal RNA", at positions 268 to 523 of the family's 1533-position model. The record is from RNAcentral. Lineage: Bacteria; Bacillati; Bacillota; Bacilli; Lactobacillales; Lactobacillaceae.
CCAAGGCAAUGAUGCAUAGCCCGAGUUGAGAGACUGAUCGGGCCACAUUGGGGACUGAGACACGGGCCCAAAACUCCUACGGGGAGGCAGCAGUAGGGAAUCUUCCACAAUGGACGCAAGUCUGAUGGAGCAACGCCGCGUGAGUGAAGAAGGGUUUCGGCUCGUAAAAGCUCUGUUGGUAGUGAAGAAAGAUAGAGGUAGUAACUGGUCCUUUAUUUGACGGUUAAUUACUUAGAAGUCACGGCUAACUACGUGCCAGCAGCCGCGGAAU